AGCGAACGCUGGCGGCAGGCUUAACACACGCAAGUCGAACGGUCCUUCGGGAUAGUGGCGGACGGGUGAGUAACACGUGGGAACGUACCCUUAGGUUCGGAACAACACAGGGAAACUUGUGCUAAUACCGGAUAAGCCCUUCGGGGGAAGGAUUUAUCGCCUUUGGAGCGGCCCGCGUCUGAUUAGCUUGUUGGUGAGGUAAUGGCUCACCAAGGCUACGAUCAGUAGCUGGUCUGAGGGGAUGGCCAGCCACACUGGGACUGAGACACGGCCCAGACUCCUACGGGAGGCAGCAGUGGGGAAUCUUGCGCAAUGGGCGAAAGCCUGACGCAGCCAUGCCGCGUGGAUGAUGAAGGUCUUAGGAUUGUAAAAUCCUUUCACCGGGGACGAUAAUGACGGUACCCGGAGAAGAAGCCCCGGCUAACUUCGUGCCAGCAGCCGCCGUAA
This 447-nucleotide ribosomal RNA is filed under the name uncultured bacterium. RNAcentral describes it as "partial 16S ribosomal RNA". It matches the Rfam family "Bacterial small subunit ribosomal RNA", at positions 29 to 523 of the family's 1533-position model. The record is from RNAcentral.